ACGAACGCUGGCGGCGUGCUUAACCCCUGCCAGUCGCACGGAAAGGCCUCUUUCGGGGGGUACUCGAGUGGCGAACGGGUGAGUAACACGUGAGUAACCUGCCCUUGACUUUGGGAUAACUUCAGGAAACUGGGGCUAAUACCGGAUAGGAGCUCCUGCUGCAUGGUGGGGGUUGGAAAGUUUCGGCGGUUGGGGAUGGACUCGCGGCUUAUCAGCUUGUUGGUGGGUAGUGGCUUACCAAGGCUUUGACGGGUAGCCGGCCUGAGAGGGUGACCGGCCACAUUGGGACUGAGAUACGGCCCAGACUCCUACGGGAGGCAGCAGUGGGGAAUAUUGCACAAUGGGUGGAAGCCUGAUGCAGCAACGCCGUGUGCGGGAUGACGGCCUUCGGGUUGUAAACCGCUUUCGCUCAUGACGAAGCUUUGUGUGACGGUAGUGGGUAAAGAAGCACCGGCUAACUACGUG
This 465-nucleotide ribosomal RNA is filed under the name uncultured bacterium. RNAcentral's name for it is "partial 16S ribosomal RNA". It matches the Rfam family "Bacterial small subunit ribosomal RNA", at positions 29 to 507 of the family's 1533-position model. The record is from RNAcentral.